Molecule: long non-coding RNA, 762 nt
Organism: Peromyscus eremicus (cactus mouse)
Lineage: Eukaryota; Metazoa; Chordata; Mammalia; Rodentia; Cricetidae
Exons: 2
Source: RefSeq, a predicted model, not a curated record
UCAGGCUGUGGUCAUUGAUUGUGCUGUUCAGCCGUGAGGUCUUUACCAACCUGGUGCCUAUCAGAGUUUUGGGGUCAUUGUAAAGUUAAUGUAAUUAUCUAUGAUGUAAUUAUAUCUAUGAUGUAAUUAUCUAUCUGUCAAUAUAUUUAUUUCUGUCAUCUCUAUUUGUAAGCAUAUUAGAUAAAAUCAUGUGAAUAUAUACGUUGAUGUUCUGUUGCUGUGAUAAAACACCCCGAUGAAAAGCAACUGAGUUGAGGAAAGGGUUUAUUUGGCUUCUAUUUCCAGGUCACAGUUCAUUGUGGAGGGAAGUCACAGCAGGAACUCAAGCAGGAACUUGAAGGCAGAAAUUGUGAUGAAAUGCUGCUUGCUGAUAGGCUCGCACUGGGCCAGCUUUCUUGCAUAGGUCAGAACCCCCUCCUAGGGGUGGUGCUGCCCACAGUGGGCUUGAUCUUCUUACAUCAAUUAAUGCUCAAGACGGUACCUCACAGACAGGCCAAUCUGAUCCUGCCAAUCCCUCAUUUGACACUUUCUUCUCAGGCGACUCCAGGUUGGGUCAAGUUGACGACUGGAGCUAACCAGAACGUUUGGGUAUAACACAUAAUAGAAAGCAUGGGCAAGGCAAGGGGAGCAAGCCAGUUAGCAGCACUCUUCCAUGACCUCUGCUUCAGUUCCUGCCUCCAGGUUCCUGCCUUGAGUGCCUGCCCUGAUUUCCCUUCAUGAUGGGCUACAACUGUAAGCUGAAAUAAACCCUUUCUUCCCCAA